Molecule: long non-coding RNA, 202 nt
Filed under: Musa acuminata (dwarf banana)
Lineage: Eukaryota; Viridiplantae; Streptophyta; Magnoliopsida; Zingiberales; Musaceae
Description: long non-coding RNA (MACU_LNC008339)
Source: RNAcentral
CUUAAACUGCUCCUAGACGCAAACUGUGUUUAGACGCAAUCUGCGCUUAGACGCAAUCUGCGUUUAGACGCAAUCUGCGCUUAGACGCAAUCUGCGCUUAGACGCAAUCUGAGUUUAGACGCAAUCUGCAUUUAGACGCAAACUGCGUUUAGACGCUAACUGUGUUUAAACGUAAACUGCACUUAAUCAUAAGUAAUCUUAG